GGAACGAUACAGAGAAGAUUAGCAUGGUCCCUGCACAAGGAUGACACGCAAAUUCAUGAAGCGUUCUAUAUAAAA
RNAcentral lists this small nuclear RNA (75 nucleotides) under Myotis lucifugus (little brown bat). The record is from RNAcentral. Lineage: Eukaryota; Metazoa; Chordata; Mammalia; Chiroptera; Vespertilionidae.